This 536-nucleotide ribosomal RNA is filed under the name Escherichia coli. RNAcentral describes it as "partial 23S ribosomal RNA". It matches the Rfam family "Bacterial large subunit ribosomal RNA", at positions 1214 to 1751 of the family's 2925-position model. The record is from RNAcentral. Lineage: Bacteria; Pseudomonadati; Pseudomonadota; Gammaproteobacteria; Enterobacterales; Enterobacteriaceae.
CUAUGUGUUGUUGGGUAGGGGAGCGUUCUGUAAGCCUGUGAAGGUGGCCUGUGAGGGUUGCUGGAGGUAUCAGAAGUGCGAAUGCUGACAUAAGUAACGAUAAAGCGGGUGAAAAGCCCGCUCGCCGGAAGACCAAGGGUUCCUGUCCAACGUUAAUCGGGGCAGGGUGAGUCGACCCCUAAGGCGAGGCCGAAAGGCGUAGUCGAUGGGAAACAGGUUAAUAUUCCUGUACUUGGUGUUACUGCGAAGGGGGGACGGAGAAGGCUAUGUUGGCCGGGCGACGGUUGUCCCGGUUUAAGCGUGUAGGCUGGUUUUCCAGGCAAAUCCGGAAAACCAAGGCUGAGGCGUGAUGACGAGGCACUACGGUGCUGAAGCGACAAAUGCCCUGCUUCCAGGAAAAGCCUCUAAGCAUCAGGUAACAUCAAAUCGUACCCCAAACCGACACAGGUGGUCAGGUAGAGAAUACCAAGGCGCUUGAGAGAACUCGGGUGAAGGAACUAGGCAAAAUGGUGCCGUAACUUCGGGAGAAGGCACGC